GUGGGGAAUAUUGGACAAUGGGCGCAAGCCUGAUCCAGCCAUGCCGCGUGAGUGAUGAAGGCCUUAGGGUUGUAAAGCUCUUUCACCGAUGAAGAUAAUGACGGUAGUCGGAGAAGAAGCCCCGGCUAACUUCGUGCCAGCAGCCGCGGUAAUACGAAGGGGGCUAGCGUUGUUCGGAUUUACUGGGCGUAAAGCGCACGUAGGCGGUUUGUUAAGUCAGGGGUGAAAUCCAGGAGCUCAACUCCGGAACUGCCUUUGAUACUGGCAAGCUAGAGUCCGGAAGAGGUAAGUGGAACUCCUAGUGUAGAGGUGGAAUUCGUAGAUAUUAGGAAGAACACCAGUGGCGAAGGCGGCUUACUGGUCCGGAACUGACGCUGAGGUGCGAAAGCGUGGGGAGCAAACAGGAUUAGAAACCCGAGUAGUCC
This 425-nucleotide ribosomal RNA is filed under the name uncultured bacterium. RNAcentral's name for it is "bacterial SSU rRNA". It matches the Rfam family "Bacterial small subunit ribosomal RNA", at positions 354 to 796 of the family's 1533-position model. The record is from RNAcentral.